RNAcentral lists this ribosomal RNA (497 nucleotides) under uncultured bacterium. RNAcentral's name for it is "partial 16S ribosomal RNA". It matches the Rfam family "Bacterial small subunit ribosomal RNA", at positions 28 to 507 of the family's 1533-position model. The record is from RNAcentral.
GAUGAACGCUGGCGGCGUGCCUAAUACAUGCAAGUCGAGCGAACGGAUGAGAAGCUUGCUUCUCUGAUGUUAGCGGCGGACGGGUGAGUAACACGUGGAUAACCUACCUAUAAGACUGGGAUAACUUCGGGAAACCGGAGCUAAUACCGGAUAAUAUAUUGAACCGCAUGGUUCAAAAGUGAAAGACGGUCUUGCUGUCACUUAUAGAUGGAUCCGCGCUGCAUUAGCUAGUUGGUAAGGUAACGGCUUACCAAGGCAACGAUGCAUAGCCGACCUGAGAGGGUGAUCGGCCACACUGGAACUGAGACACGGUCCAGACUCCUACGGGAGGCAGCAGUAGGGAAUCUUCCGCAAAGGGCGAAAGCCUGACGGAGCAACGCCGCGUGAGUGAUGAAGGUCUUCGGAUCGUAAAACUCUGUUAUUAGGGAAGAACAUAUGUGUAAGUAACUGUGCACAUCUUGACGGUACCUAAUCAGAAAGCCACGGCUAACUACGUG